GAUGAACGCUGGCGGCGUGCCUAAUACAUGCAAGUCGAGCGAAGCGGGAGCGGGUGAGUAACACGUGGAGAACCUCCGAUAAGACGGGGAUAACUUCGGGGAACCGGAGGUAAACCCGAUACUUAUACAUUGCUCCGCGAUGUAUUAGCUAGUUGGUAAGGUAACGGCUCACCAAGGCAACGAUGCGUAGCCGACCUGAGAGGGUGAUCGGCCACACUGGAACUGAGAAACGGCCCAGACUCCUACGGGAGGCAGCAGUGGGGAAUAUUCCGCAAUGGGCGAAAGCCUGACGGAGCCAUGCCGCGUGAGUGAUGAAGGUCUUCGGGUCGUAAAAUUCUGUUAUCAGGGAAGCGUUACCUAAUCAGAAAGCCACGGCUAACUCCGUGCCAGCAGCCGCGGUAAUUC
RNAcentral lists this ribosomal RNA (405 nucleotides) under uncultured bacterium. Its description in RNAcentral is "partial 16S ribosomal RNA". It matches the Rfam family "Bacterial small subunit ribosomal RNA", at positions 28 to 526 of the family's 1533-position model. The record is from RNAcentral.